UUUUAUCAAUACACACACAUAUGUUUAAAAUAAAUACAACUUGCAUAUUUAAAAAUUUAAAAAUAUAUAUACACACAUGUUUUUAAAUUUAAAUAUUUAAAUAAAUAAAACCG
This 113-nucleotide ribosomal RNA is filed under the name Gloeochaete wittrockiana. RNAcentral's name for it is "partial Trypanosomatid mitochondrial large subunit ribosomal RNA". Lineage: Eukaryota; Glaucocystophyceae; Gloeochaetales; Gloeochaetaceae. The record is from RNAcentral.